CUGGGCAAUGGCGGGCGCCCCUCCCCCAGCCUCGCUGCCGACUUGCAGUUUGAUCUCAGACUGCUGUGCUAGCAAUCAGCGAGAUUCUGUGGGCGUAGGACCCUCCAAGCCAGGUGUGGGAUAUAGUCUCGUGGUGCACCGUUUUUUAAGCCGGUCUGAAAAGCGCAAUAUUCGGGUGGGAGUGACCCGCUUUUCCAGAGAACCUUUUUGUGAUGAAAACGAGAUGAAACUAUGGAAGAACCAGAGAAGCAUCAGCCUGAGAAGGACUCAACUGAUUAUUGCUGGCUUUGAAGACAGGAAGGAGCCAUGAGCCAGGGAAUGCUGGUGACCUCUGGAAGCUGGAAAAGGGAAGGAAGUAGAUUGUCCUCUAGCCCCUUCAGAAAGGAAUGCAGCACUGUGACACCUUGAUCUCACAGCAGUAGAAAACAGAUGAAUACACCUAGAUUUCUUCCUGCGUGAAUCCAGUUGAGGGGAAGGUAUAAAAUUUUCAAAUGGAGGAGUAUACCUGAACCUAAUCAUGGAUGUGAUUUUAUAUACAGAUAAGCUGAUUCUAAAACUUACAAGAAUGGCAAAGAAACAAGAAGAGCUUAAACUGCAAUCAUCAACAGAGAAGCUUUCUGCAACCAAAGUGAAGACUGAAGCCUUAGGCUAUGGCAGAAGUUGGGCGCCUGAAGUACACGUGGAAAUAUGCCAACUGAACAUUGGACUACCACGUCAAGGGUCUCCUACCCCUGGGCCAUGGAUCAAUACCAGUCUGUGACCUGUUAGGAACCGGUAGCAGGAGAUUACCUUGAAGGAAUGUAUGUUCUUCACGUGGAUGGAGAGAGAUGCAGUGUGUGUUUAUUUUAGAAAUACUGUAGGAAUAUAGAAAACAUAAGUAAAAGUUGUGAUGGAUAGUUGAAA
Homo sapiens (human) is the source of this 903-nucleotide long non-coding RNA. Ensembl annotates it as long intergenic non-protein coding RNA 1572. The record is from Ensembl. Lineage: Eukaryota; Metazoa; Chordata; Mammalia; Primates; Hominidae.